UACGUAGGGGGCGAGCGUUAUCCGGAUUCACUGGGUGUAAAGGGAGCGUAGACGGCCAAGCAAGCCAGGGGUGAAAGCCCGGGGCCCAACCCCGGGACUGCCCUUGGAACUGCAUGGCUGGAGUGCGGGAGGGGCAGGCGGAAUUCCUGGUGUAGCGGUGAAAUGCGUAGAUAUCAGGAGGAACACCGGUGGCGAAGGCGGCCUGCUGGACUGCAACUGACGUUGAGGCCCGAAAGCGUGGGGAGCAAACAGG
RNAcentral lists this ribosomal RNA (253 nucleotides) under uncultured bacterium. RNAcentral's name for it is "partial 16S ribosomal RNA". It matches the Rfam family "Bacterial small subunit ribosomal RNA", at positions 524 to 776 of the family's 1533-position model. The record is from RNAcentral.